Molecule: ribosomal RNA, 253 nt
Filed under: uncultured bacterium
Lineage: Bacteria
Description: partial 16S ribosomal RNA
Rfam family: Bacterial small subunit ribosomal RNA
Source: RNAcentral
UACGUAGGUGGCGAGCGUUAUCCGGAAUUAUUGGGCGUAAAGCGCGCGCCGGCGGUUUCUUAAGUCUGAUGUGAAAGCCCACGGCUCAACCGUGGAGGGUCAUUGGAAACUGGGAAACUUGAGUGCAGAAGAGGAAAGCGGAAUUCCACGUGUAGCGGUGAAAUGCGUAGAGAUGUGGAGGAACACCAGUGGCGAAGGCGGCUUUCUGGUCUGUAACUGACGCUGAGGCGCGAAAGCAUGGGGAGCAAAAGGG